This is a non-coding RNA of Camelina sativa (false flax), 941 nucleotides long. NCBI's taxonomy places the organism in Eukaryota, Viridiplantae, Streptophyta, Magnoliopsida, Brassicales, Brassicaceae. The record is from RefSeq and is a predicted model, not a curated record.
CAUCUCCCUCCUUUACCGGCGGAGAUACCUCGCCGUCGUUAGCCGAAGUACUAAUUCAACAAAUCUAUGUGGUACGAUUCGUAUACAGGCGAUUUUGGGAUUCCACUUGUAUUGAUACUUUUCUUUGGGAGCUGAUGAGAAGCAACGGCUGAUGAGAAGCAAUGUCAUCUCUCGCAAAUGCAGCGAAGCCUCUCAAUGGAGAGAAGCGAGAAAAAGAGAGAGAGAAAGAUUCGAGCUUUCGUCUGCAUUGGAGAUUCUUGUUUCUGCUAUUAGAAGGUCUGUGAUUGGUGGCUGUGUUGAUGAAGAGGAUCUUUGUUCUAUGGAGAUUGUUGUUCCCACUGAUGUUAGACAUGUCACCUUUGAUCGUUUCCAUGGCUUCCUUGGCUUGCCUGUUGAGUUUGAACCUGAAGUCCCCAGACGAGCUCCUAGUGCAAGGUUGAAGGAAUUUUCAGGAUUAAUGGUGAGAAUGCUCAAGAGGAGUACAUAAGAGAAGAGUUGAAUAAAGGUGUUAUACCUGAUAACAUCGAUGUCCACUGCCUAGCAAGUCUCAUUAAGGGACUUCCGAGUGGUGUUCUGGAUUCACUCUCACCAGAGCAAGUAAUGGAGUUUGAGAGAGUGUGUGGACCUUGUAAAGAUUCUUCCUUCAAUUUGAAGAUUCUUUGUUAGAUUGGGCUAUCAAUCUAAUGGCUGAUGUUGUGGAGAUGGAACAACUAAACAAGAUGAAUGCUCGCAACAUUGCAAUGGUUUUUGCACCUAACAUGACUCAGAUGUUGGAUCCAUUGACGGCUCUCAGUUUUGAACUUUCCUAAAACACUUAUUGUGAAGACGCUUAAAGACCGGAAAGAAUCUCGAGAUAGGUUGGUUCCUGCCUCAAAUCCAAGUCCUCGUUACCAUAAUGGUGAUCAGAGCAGCAGAGACAACUGUUCCAUCUCAUGAAAGCU